AGAGCGAACGCUGGCGGCGUGCUUAACACAUGCAAGUCGAGUGCGCGCCUGUAGCAAUACAGGUGGCGCACGGCGCACGGGUGCGUAACACGUGGGUAAUCUGCCCUUCGAUGGGGAAUAACUCCGGGAAACCGAAGCUAAUUCCGCAUAACAUUCCUUGAACUUCGGUUUGGGGACUCAAAGCCGUAAGGCGUCGGAGGAGGAACCCGCGCACGAUUAGCUAGUUGGUAGGGUAACGGCCUACCAAGGCUUUGAUCGUUAGCUGGUCUGAGAGGAUGGCCAGCCACACUGGAACUGAGACACGGUCCAGACUCCUACGGGAGGCAGCAGUGGGGAAUCUUGCACAAUGGGCGAAAGCCUGAUGCAGCGACGCCGCGUGGGGGAUGAAGCUUUUCGGAGUGUAAACCCCUUUCGACCCGGACGAAUGCCCCGCAAGGGGACUGACGGUACGGGUAUAAGAACGCCCCGGCUAACUACGUGCCAGCAGCCGC
This 491-nucleotide ribosomal RNA is filed under the name uncultured bacterium. RNAcentral describes it as "SSU rRNA". It matches the Rfam family "Bacterial small subunit ribosomal RNA", at positions 26 to 518 of the family's 1533-position model. The record is from RNAcentral.